Molecule: long non-coding RNA, 910 nt
Filed under: Equus caballus (horse)
Lineage: Eukaryota; Metazoa; Chordata; Mammalia; Perissodactyla; Equidae
Description: lncRNA (ENSECAG00000047221.1)
Source: RNAcentral
UCACCAAAGGACUAUCAGCCUUCUCUGUGGUGAUUUGAGGUUGCUGCGAUGAGUGAAUUUGUGCAUGGGCCCUUUAAGACCCGGGUCUUUUCGGCUUUCGGCUGAUAGCUUCUCUGGGGGUAUCCUCGCUGCAGUUAAUAGCCAGCAAAGCCGGACGGUGAGGAUGUUGAAACACAGAUUGGGUCACCAGUCCAAAACCACAUGAUCAGCAGUACUAUGGAUUCCAAACACUCCGCCACCACGCUAAAUGUAGAGCUGCAGAGAAUCACAGGAUAAGAUCACCUCUAUGUGACACAGUGACUCACUGAGCUGGACGAGAAGUGAAGUCCAGGGAAGGAUUUGAAAAGAUAAAGGCUGUAGUCCAGAACUACGAGAAUGUGUGUAGCGCAGCCCUUGCAAACGGAAGGCAACAAGCAGAGAAAGAAGCUCUUUGAGUAGAAGGAGAUGCCUAGCGUCAUAAACGUUGCUAUUGACAUGAAGCUUCUUCAAGGUUCAUUAGGCAUGAAUAUUAAAUGAAGGCAAAGAAAAAUUCCAUUAACUGGAAGAGGGAAAGCAGCAAUCUCUCCCUGGUGUCAGGAGUCUAUCCUAUGAGUCUGUCAUGCCCCUGACUUGCACCGUGAAGCAGCUGUGAAAAUGUGCACGGCUGAAGUGAGAAGAAGAGGCAGUGUCAUCCGCCAAGCCUGGCUUUGAUAUGUCUGCCAUCUGAGGUUGCCACAGUCUCUGUCAGCUCUGGCGUGGCAGCUAAAAGACGCCUUUUCUCCUUACCUCGGCUCUUUUAAACACAUUUGCUAGGGGGGAAAACACUCCUCCAUUUCUACCAUUGGACUGAAGGUUUCUUAUUUGCCUUAACUCAUUAUUCACAUUUCCAUAAUGCUGGAUAAUUGCAAACCACAUAAAAAGCCAUUUUGAU